GGGGCCGUGGGGUAGCUUGGUUAUCCUGUGCGCUUGGGGGGCGUGCGACCCGGGUUCAAAUCCCGGCGGCCCCACCA
This 77-nucleotide transfer RNA is filed under the name Methanocaldococcus villosus. It matches the Rfam family "tRNA". Rfam says of the family: Transfer RNA (tRNA) molecules are approximately 80 nucleotides in length. Their secondary structure includes four short double-helical elements and three loops (D, anti-codon, and T loops). Further hydrogen bonds mediate the characteristic L-shaped molecular structure. tRNAs have two regions of fundamental functional importance: the anti-codon, which is responsible for specific mRNA codon recognition, and the 3' end, to which the tRNAs corresponding amino acid is attached (by aminoacyl-tRNA synthetases). tRNAs cope with the degeneracy of the genetic code in two manners: having more than one tRNA (with a specific anti-codon) for a particular amino acid; and 'wobble' base-pairing, i.e. permitting non-standard base-pairing at the 3rd anti-codon position. RNAcentral also lists the same sequence under 1 other name. Lineage: Archaea; Methanobacteriati; Methanobacteriota; Methanococci; Methanococcales; Methanocaldococcaceae. The record is from RNAcentral.